CCAGAAGUAGAUAGCUUAACCUUCGGGGGGGCGUUUACCACGGUAUGAUUCAUGACUGGGGUGAAGUCGUAACAAGGUAACCGUAGGGGAACCUGCGGUUGGAUCACCUCCUUACCUAAAA
RNAcentral lists this ribosomal RNA (121 nucleotides) under Pasteurella multocida subsp. multocida. Its description in RNAcentral is "partial 16S ribosomal RNA". It matches the Rfam family "Bacterial small subunit ribosomal RNA", at positions 1420 to 1533 of the family's 1533-position model. The record is from RNAcentral. Lineage: Bacteria; Pseudomonadati; Pseudomonadota; Gammaproteobacteria; Pasteurellales; Pasteurellaceae.